UCACAGUUGCCUGGAAACCAUUCUGGUUUU
This 30-nucleotide non-coding RNA is filed under the name Homo sapiens (human). Lineage: Eukaryota; Metazoa; Chordata; Mammalia; Primates; Hominidae. The record is from RNAcentral.